GUGGGGAAUAUUGGACAAUGGGCGCAAGCCUGAUCCAGCCAUGCCGCGUGAAUGAUGAAGGCCUUAGGGUUGUAAAGUUCUUUCGCCAGGGACGAUAAUGACGGUACCUGGAUAAGAAGCCCCGGCUAACUUCGUGCCAGCAGCCGCGGUAAUACGAAGGGGGCUAGCGUUGUUCGGAUUUACUGGGCGUAAAGCGCACGUAGGCGGAUCUUUAAGUCAGGGGUGAAAUCCCGAGGCUCAACCUCGGAACUGCCCUUGAUACUGGAGAGCUUGAGUUCGGGAGAGGUGAGUGGAACUGCGAGUGUAGAGGUGAAAUUCGUAGAUAUUCGCAAGAACACCAGUGGCGAAGGCGGCUCACUGGCCCGAUACUGACGCUGAGGUGCGAAAGCGUGGGGAGCAAACAGGAUUAGAAACCCUAGUAGUCC
Molecule: ribosomal RNA, 425 nt
Filed under: uncultured bacterium
Lineage: Bacteria
Description: partial 16S ribosomal RNA
Rfam family: Bacterial small subunit ribosomal RNA
Source: RNAcentral